GUUUCACAGUUGAGGAGGAGAAGCUGGGACUAGCAGGCUUCACGAGAAACACAAAGGUAUAGCCUUGCUCACUGCAUAUCCACUGACCUGACCCAUAGUACAACUCCAGUAGGAACUGUUGGACAGAUGACUGAAUGAGGAGACUGAACUGUAGCCAGCUCUAGAGAUUAAAAAAAGUCAUGGAGAUUCAGAAAGACAGGAAGUUACUGCAUAUAAAGGUUAACACCCACCCUCACCUUCUACAAACAGCCUCAGCUAAAGAUACCUGGGAGGAGCUUGUAGAAGAUGCCACUCUCUGCAAUCCAGAGGAAAAUGUCUUUCCCUUUGAGCGGAUCAUUUCUACCAAGGUCAAACUCAUAUUUUACAUUGAGUUUGUAUGAAAAAAAAAUCAGAUGUUUAAUUUUUCAUGUAAUCAAAGAACAAUAACAAAAGCAAACCUUCACUUGAGGACUGACUCUGGACUGGUUCUGGAAGCUGUACAAGGGACAUCCCCAGCCACGUGGUAACUGGCAUGAGCCCACAAUUAAUAUGCAUUAAAUCAGUCACUCCUCAAGUCAAA
RNAcentral lists this long non-coding RNA (559 nucleotides) under Homo sapiens (human). RNAcentral's name for it is "novel transcript, sense intronic to LRRC18". The record is from RNAcentral. Lineage: Eukaryota; Metazoa; Chordata; Mammalia; Primates; Hominidae.